GUGGCUGAUCGUGAUCCUCGUGGUGGCCAACAGUGAAUUCAGGCUAUUGGGUCAGUGAAGUCUCCUCAACAGCAGCGCUGCAGGAAGAAGGGCUGCAGCAGCAGCACAGAGACAUAGCACUGAGCAUCCUGUCGUUCUCCUACAUCUGUGUCAUACAGCUCUUAAGAUGUGUCCUAUACAGACAACAUUCCAGGGACCUUUCCAGCCUACGUUGCCAGUUAUUAGGUGGGAGGAUGAAGCUAUUUUCAAAUCUGAGACUCUGAUGUAAAACUGUGCAGAUUUCUGAAUACACUGGAGAUGUGUGUGUUUGCACCAGCCCAUGGAAUGCCCAUGAGGGUGUUUCCUGAAGCUUAAGGAGGGUCUGAAUAAGUGUUGACAUGAUGUUUAGUCACAAAUUGGCUGGACAGUUCCAAGCAGAGAGCCAGGCAAUGAUGGACAGCAUGGGCAACUUGUAUCCAAUAGCUUUUAUGGAAAUUCCUGCCUUUUUGAAAACAUUAACUGAU
This is a long non-coding RNA of Pezoporus flaviventris, 503 nucleotides long. RefSeq lists it as uncharacterized. The transcript has 4 exons. The record is from RefSeq and is a predicted model, not a curated record. Lineage: Eukaryota; Metazoa; Chordata; Aves; Psittaciformes; Psittacidae.